CAAGAGUGAUCUAUGUGAGAUAUGGAUACUCAAUUUCUUUAUAUUCAUCGACUUUCUCUGGCCGCAAUUGGGUUAUGGCCUUACCAUCGAACAAUGCUUGUUCAACUUCAGUCUUCUGUGUUUUCUCUUACUAUGAUUAGCUAUCUUAUAUUUCAGCUUACAACACUUCUAACUACAGAAUGGACUAUUGACUUUAUUGUUGAAAUCCUUUCUACAUCACUUUUUGUUCUUUUGUGCACAAUUCUUUAUAAUUCUUGUUGGAUUAACACGCAUGUUGUGAAGCGUGUAUUGGACAAUCUUCAGUACAUUUGUAGCGACUUAAAGGACGAAAACGAAAUUGCUAUAAUAAAAAGAUAUGGAUACAUUGCAAAAUGUGUUGCAGUUGCAUACACAUUGUUGACGAUAGGCGGUUUCUUCAGCUUAUCUCUUUUGCCAAUUCUGCCGCGAAUUUUCGGCAUCUUUUCUCUCGUAAAUAAAUCCGAGCUACAUCACAAUAUAUAUAUGAGAACUGAAUAUUUUGUUGAUCAAGAAAAAUAUUUUUAUUUUAUUUUGCUGCAUCUGUACGCAGUUCAGUACAUAGGAGGAGGUAUAUUAUUAGGAGAAUCAAUAGUGAUGGUGGGAUACGGUACAUAUUCUUGUGGAUUAUUUAACAUUGCAAGUUACCGUAUCGAACAGGCAAUGCGGAUAAGUAGUGACGAAGUAACUAAUCGGAAGAACAAGAAAGAGAUCGACAGGAAAAUAAGUCAUGCAGUGAACAUUCAUCGCACAGCUCUUGAGUUUAUUACAUUCUUUCUACAUAGCUUCGAGGGAACAUAUUUUGUUUUAAUAGCGAUUAUUGUAAUUUCUUUGAGCCUCAAUCUGUUUGGAAUUUUUCAAGCCGUUUGUUUAAGUAAGAUGGAAAAUUGUGUAUUACACUUUAGUUUUGCGCUUGGCCUUUUAACAUGUUCAUUAGGAGCCAAUUACAUCGGUCAAGCAAUUACAGAUCACUAUACUUACAUAUUUUCAACUGCAUAUAACGUUCGAUGGUACAUUGCACCUGUACGCGUGCAAAGAUUACUAUUGUUUCUUAUGCAAAAAGGCGCUAAGCCUUAUAGCAUAAAAUUGGGUGGUCUUUGUACACUAUCUUUAGAAAACUUUGCCUCGCUAUCAUCUGUAUCAUUAUCGUAUUUUACUAUUAUAUGUUCCAUCCAAAAGUGAUAUUAAUAUGAAUCAGCUUAAUAUUAUGUUAAGACCAAAUAAACUUGAAGAUUAGGUAUUUCAAACUGCACUGCUUCGAGAUAAAAGGGAGGAAUGCAAAUUUACCAGCAAGUUUUAUGGAAAUCUGUUGCCAAUCUGUUAGCAUACUGCUCGCAUUGUGCUUACUGGGAAGCAGUCGAUCAUAUUGGGUUGUAAUAUAAAUAAGUUUGGUUGCAAGUAUAAACAUGUUCUAAUUCUAAGACUUAUGACUCAUUGCGAAUGCAUAUAACUCUGAUUAACGAGAAACCACAUGUAAUCAUUUUAAACUCAGUACUGCUACAGUUUACAAUUUAUUGAAGUUUAAUAUUUAAAUAUCCUUAAAAUUGAAAACUUAGACAUGUUCGGCAAAUAAUGCUGUGGGAAUUCAAACAAGGUAAUUCUGCUGAUAAAGACACAGCUCGAAAAAUGGUAAAUGUUUCGAAUAGGAGAGGCUCCUCUAGUGAUCUCUACCGUGAUCUAUAUUACAAAGAUCACUUCCCUGAGUAACUUGGAGAAAGUUUUAACUGUCGCUCGUUGUUUAUUAAAACGUUAUUAAAAACCGUUUAAUGAUGUUGCACGAGUUUUCAGCUGUCCACGCGAAAAGAAAAGUUACAGGUUGAGUUAGGGUUGGGUAGGUUAGGUUUUUGAGGGGAGAAGGCAGGCGUUAUCUCUUCUUGGCGAAGCUCCUUUUUACUAUUCACCCACAUUUCUAUUCAGAUAUACAGGGUGUUAAUUUUCCACCGCCCACUAAGCACACAGUGUUAUUCCUUAUGAAAAGUUGAGUCGAAAAGUCCUGAACUAUUUUUCUCUACGAUAUUUAAUGACAGAGUUAUUGUUAAAUAAAUACCAGCGAAUUAAUGUCGUUCUAGAAGUAUACGCUGUGAGUCACACAGACUGUCUUAACAGCAUGAACGCAGCGGCGAAGUACUCACACACAUUACCAGGCUCACUGACGUACGCUCGGCUAAAGGUCGGCGCUGAUUGGAUUGAUUUUACUCAACAAUUACUACUUUAUUACGCAUUAUAGAGAAAAAUAGUUCAGGACCUUUCGACUCAAUUUUCCAUAAGGAAUAACACUAUGUACUUAGUGGGCGGUGGAAAAUUAACAUCUUGUAUAAAUCUCUUAUAGAUUUGCAGAUCUGUGUAAACAAUAAUUUUCAUUAUUGUUUGCCCUCCCUUGUGAAGUAUAAGCUCUGUCCCUCCCCUUACACUCCCUCCCCACAAAAAUCUAACCUAAUCUAACUCAACUCGUAACUCUUUCUUCCUCUUAAAAUUCGUGCAUUUCACUCAUUAUCUUGCAGAAUUUAUGUUCAAAGGACAAUACAAUUAUGAUGAACGCAUUGAUAUACUUUUCAACAGAAUGUGUUCAAUAUAUCCAUUAGAGAUUUAUUACAGUACUGAAUAAAAUUUCCCUUAUUUUGCACAAUAAUUAUAUAUAUAAUAUAAUAAAAAUUCGAUGUAUAUUUAUUGUAUUAAUGCACUGCCUCUGAGUGAAGAUUCCUCACCCCAAACAUGUACACUCUGUUACGAAUAAUACUAAAAGAAUAAGUUUCUGUAACUUCUUUAAAUUCUUAAAUUAUUUUCUAUAUUAUACAAACGUCUUUCACUUAUAACUUUUUAAUAAACAACGAGCUACGGUUAAAACGUUUCAAAGGUACUCAGGACAAUGUUUUUGACAACAUAUGUCAAGGUCAAGGCCAUUGGAGGAAUUUCUCCUAUUCGCAACUUUUACCAAACAUUUUAUAGUUGGAAUGAUCAGUUUUGUUGCAUUCAUCGUACUCUACAGAUCUUGCACCACCUGAUUACACAUACUUAUUUCGUUUAUAGUAAAACACAUUAAAUGGGAAAAAAUUUAAUAAUGAUGAAGAAGUCAAACUUUAUACAAAACUGUUUUCAAUCAAAAGAUGAAACCUUCUAUUCUAGUAUUGACCAAUUGCCUUUCAAAUGGAAAACUGUCAUAAAUAAUAAUGGAGAUUAUAUAAUUGAUUGAAUGGCUGGGGUAGCAUUUUGUCGCAGCGAAUAUAAUUUAUUCCUAUUGAUUUAUAUUGAUUCUAAUUGGAACAAUUAUUGUAUUUUAAAGUUUAACAAAUCCCAUUAGCGCACAGUUGCUUCGGUUAGAAAGUUUCAUGUCUGAACAUCGACAUUUGCCAGGUUUGAUCCACUAAACUAUAAGUAAUUUUUAUGACUGACUGGCGAUUUAAUACUUUAUAUAGUAACAACAAAUUUUAAAUAUAAUCGAACUUAUUUAUAUACAACCUAAUAAAAAGCAAGGAUGCGUAUUUAUUGGACAGUGUCCUAUCCAUCAGACAACUUAAGUCAUAAGCCUAUUAUAACUGAUGUAUCCCGAACACCCAAGUUAUUAAGUAUCCGUUUAUUGCUGACACCCUGUAUUAACUUUGAAAAUAUAUCGCAAUACUGUUCACAUUGUAA
Ooceraea biroi (clonal raider ant) is the source of this 3645-nucleotide RNA transcript. It is a transcript of the gene named odorant receptor 13a, with no coding region annotated. Lineage: Eukaryota; Metazoa; Arthropoda; Insecta; Hymenoptera; Formicidae. The record is from RefSeq and is a predicted model, not a curated record.